Long non-coding RNA from Arabidopsis thaliana (thale cress), 221 nucleotides. RefSeq annotates it as other RNA. The record is from RefSeq. The transcript has a single exon. NCBI's taxonomy places the organism in Eukaryota, Viridiplantae, Streptophyta, Magnoliopsida, Brassicales, Brassicaceae.
CGAGUCCAUGAGAGUUUGCCCUUAGAUGUUUAUCCUUAUAAGAUCAUGUGAAUCCCUAUAGAGUUCAUGAAAAUUUCUUGAAAAGGGUUCAAUUUUUCAUCUUUCUAGAAUCUAGCUUCUGCUUUCCAAUCUCUCCGUGUGUGACACUUAUGUUAAUAAGAAUCAUAACCCUUAAACUCUGCUUCAUCUCCCAGCCGUUUCUUCUCCCUAUACGUGCAUUG